Molecule: non-coding RNA, 73 nt
Organism: Ictidomys tridecemlineatus (thirteen-lined ground squirrel)
Lineage: Eukaryota; Metazoa; Chordata; Mammalia; Rodentia; Sciuridae
Source: Rfam
GGGGAUAUAGCUCAGUUGGUAGAGUGCCUGCCUAGCAUUCAUAAGUCCCUGGGUUCAAUCCCCAGCACCACCA